This 467-nucleotide ribosomal RNA is filed under the name uncultured bacterium. Its description in RNAcentral is "partial 16S ribosomal RNA". It matches the Rfam family "Bacterial small subunit ribosomal RNA", at positions 28 to 506 of the family's 1533-position model. The record is from RNAcentral.
GACGAACGCUGGCGGCGUGCUUAACACAUGCAAGUCGAACGGAAAGGCCCUGCUUUUGUGGGGUGCUCGAGUGGCGAACGGGUGAGUAACACGUGAGUAACCUGCCCUUGACUUUGGGAUAACUUCAGGAAACUGGGGCUAAUACCGGAUAGGAGCUCCUGCUGCAUGGUGGGGGUUGGAAAGUUUCGGCGGUUGGGGAUGGACUCGCGGCUUAUCAGCUUGUUGGUGGGGUAGUGGAUGACCAAGGCUUUGACGGGUAGCCGGCCUGAGAGGGUGACCGGCCACAUUGGGACUGAGGUACGGCCCAGACUCCUACGGGAGGCAAGAGUGGGGAAUAUUGCACACUGGGCGGAAGCCGGAUGGAGCAACGCCGCGUGCGGGAUGACGGCUUUCGGGUUGGAAACCGCUUUCGCCUGUGACGAAGCGUGAGUGACGGUAAUGGGUAAAGAAGCACCGGCUAAUUACGU